Molecule: transfer RNA, 76 nt
Filed under: Acidobacteriota bacterium
Lineage: Bacteria; Pseudomonadati; Acidobacteriota
Also listed under: 1 other name
Description: tRNA-Thr
Rfam family: tRNA
About the family: Transfer RNA (tRNA) molecules are approximately 80 nucleotides in length. Their secondary structure includes four short double-helical elements and three loops (D, anti-codon, and T loops).
Source: RNAcentral
GCUGGCGUAGCUCAGCUGGUAGAGCGGCUGACUUGUAAUCAGCAGGUCGUGGGUUCGAAUCCCUCCGCCAGCUCCA